CCCAAAAUUAAGUGAGCUAUUGUAGAACAGUUGGCAGAACAAACUCAUCUGUGUAGCAAAACAGUGAGAUGAUUCUACAAUAGAAGUGAAAAGCCUAUCGAACUUAAUGAUAGCUGG
Molecule: non-coding RNA, 117 nt
Organism: Sarcophilus harrisii (Tasmanian devil)
Lineage: Eukaryota; Metazoa; Chordata; Mammalia; Dasyuromorphia; Dasyuridae
Source: Rfam